AUGGAGAGAAGUAGUGGGACGUCGCCUUUAGGAGAGCCCACCGUUCCAGUAAUCCCAAACUGUGCACCAACACUAUCAGUUGUGGAAUCGGCCAAUAGUGUCCAAAAUCAAGAUUUGAGUGAUGCUACCUCAUUUGCAGAAAUAAAUUCCCCAAUGCUUCUCAUUGAUGAUGCGAGUACACCAAAAAAGAAACAGGCCUUCUCUCAAGAGGGUUCUUUGUAUAAACCCCAAUGUGAUGAGGAAUUGAAGCCAAAAGUGGGGAUGCUAUUUGAUGACAUUGGCUCAGUAAUGGAAUUUUACAAGACAUAUGCACACCAUGUCGGAUUUGGUGUACGUCUUGGGCAGCAAAAGAUCGUAGAUAAUGUGCUUCUGUGGAAGCGCUUCUUGUGUGCAAAAGAAGGCUUUCGGCCCGAGAAAGGUAUGGUUGUUGUUGAUCAUUCCAAGAAAAGGCGAAAGGUGAAAUUGACUAGAUGUGGAUGUCAAGCUUUUAUCUAUGUCACUCGGGAAAGUGAUGGAAAAUAUAAGAUAGCUUCACUCAGUGAAUAUCACAAUCACCCUUUUGUGCCACCUAGCCAUCAACACUUGAUUAGAUCUAAUCGUCAAAUUAGCGAGAGGGUGAAGACAACACUCCAUGAUUGCCAGAAAGCUAGCAUCGGGACCGCCUUAGCAUAUAGGUUUCUUCAUGUUGGCGCAGGGGGUUUUCAGCAUGUUGGCUGCACCCAGAAGGACCUACAGAAUCACUAUGGUGGAUUGAAAAAUAAAAUUAAAAAUUACGACGCUCAAAUGCUAGUGGACCAAUUUGGUAGAUUGAAGGCUCUCAAUCCUACUUUUUUCUUUGACUAUGAAGUUGACGAGGUUGGUACAUUAGUUCGUUUGUUCUGGACGGAUGCGACAAGUAGGAAAAACUAUGGUCACUUCAAUGAUGUGGUAUCUUUUGAUUCAACAUACAACACUAACCAAUAUGAAUACACGUUUGCGCCCUUCACUGGAGUAAACCAUCAUAUGCAAAAUGUCUUUUUUGGGGCUGGGUUUCUACUUCAUGAGACAGCAGACUCCUAUAUUUGGUUGUUCAGGGCGUUUCUUACAGCAAUGAGUGGGAUUGCGCCUAGACUAAUCACAACAGACGAAUGUAGUAAGAUGAGGAACGCAAUUAAAGAAACUCUGCCGAACACCGCGCAUCGAUUGUGUAUGUGGCACAUUAUGGAGAAAGUUCCUGGGAAGGUACGUCCUGAGUUGAAAAAUGACCUUGUAUUCUAUGAUAGGCUAAAACAUUGUGUGUGGAAUUCUGAAACCCCUGCUGAAUUUGAGGAUAGAUGGAAGUCUUUCAUCAUAGAUUUUAAGUUGGAGGACCAUGAGUGGUUCGCGAAAAGGUAUGAACUUUGUGCAACAUGGAUACUAGCUUACUUUAUGGAAAUUCCCCUAGCUGGUCUUCUCAAGACAACUUCAAUUUCAGAGAGCGCAAACUCAUUUUUUAAGCGUUUCAUCUGUCGCAAGCUUAACUCCGCCUAUGUUGUCUCAACAUAG
Molecule: ribosomal RNA, 1524 nt
Filed under: Triticum aestivum (bread wheat)
Lineage: Eukaryota; Viridiplantae; Streptophyta; Magnoliopsida; Poales; Poaceae
Description: partial small subunit ribosomal RNA
Source: RNAcentral